RNAcentral lists this long non-coding RNA (1487 nucleotides) under Cricetulus griseus (Chinese hamster). Its description in RNAcentral is "lncRNA (ENSCGRG00000024541.1)". Lineage: Eukaryota; Metazoa; Chordata; Mammalia; Rodentia; Cricetidae. The record is from RNAcentral.
AAAAAAAGGAAGAAAGGAAUGAAAAAAGGAAGAAGGGAAGAAAAAGAAGGAAGAAAAUUAAAAACAAAACAAAACAAAAACAAAAACUCUGGAGAUGUGGAGACUGGGUCCACUUCACCUGAAGGUGAGGAAAAUGCUGUAGCAGGCUGGCGCGCAAGGGCUGCUGGGGUCUGUAGUCCCGACUGCGCCUUAGGGGACGCGCCUGCGCACUGGUUGCGAGCUCGCUCUAGUCGCUGUAGUCGGGGCUCGGGACCGGCUGCCAUCGUAGUGGAGGGACUGAGGAGUCGUCGCCGCCCCGAGUCCCGCUGUUGUAGUGAACUUGGCUGAAGGGAGGAGUGUGGAGAAAAGAGUGAAGAGUUUUGGUUUUUUUCCCUUCAAAGUUACAGAACACAACCUAGCCACCCAUCAUUGUGCUCUUAAGUGUGCUGCUUCUCCUGGAUCGGUGAGAUCUUAUGAAAAUAGGUAAAGGCCAUGUGUGUUCACUCUCAGGGUUGGCAACUGGUUUGGUUCUCAUCUGAAAUAAAGUUUUUUUCUGGGGGGCGGUGGCAAAUUUGAUGAGAUUCAGCCUUGCAUAUCACAGGUUUACUUAAGGCUUAAUUUUUCCGGGUUUUAGAAAAGAUGCAAUUCUCCUUGAAUAGUUAGUGUACUUUGUGUGUGAGCUCAUGAAUUCAGACUUUAGAAUAGACCUCAACAAGGAUAUAAUGUGAAACCAAAAGCAUGUAUUCUAGAGUUGUUUUUAUUUUAUUUUGAGACAAGAUCUUGCUGUAUAGCUCUGGAAUACACUGUGUAAACUUAGACUGGCAUCCCACUUAAUUGUAUCUUCCUGUCUCUGCCUCCUGAGUGCUUCAGUUACAGGUACAUGCCAACACGAUAGGCACAGGAGAAAUUUUAGAUUUGUUGAUUUGUGUGUGUGAGCGCCAUGACUCGAGUUGGAGGUCAGAAGGUAACCCUCAAGAGUGUUUCCUCCUUUUACCCUGUGGCUUCCAGGGAUCAAACUCAGAUCAACAGGCUUGCAUAGCAAAUGCCUUUACUUAAUGAUCUAUUCUGCUGAACCAGAAUUUUUUUUGGGGGGCGGGGGUGGACAGAGUUUCUCUGUAUAGCCCUGGCUGUCCUGGAACUCACUCUGUAUGGAGACAGAGAUCCCUCCCAGGUGCUGGGAUUAAAGGCCUUCACUACCACUGCACAGUUCAGGAGAGAUUUUUUUGUUUUGUUUUGUUUUUUGUUUUUUGUUUUGUUUUGUUUUUGGAGACAAGGUUUCUCUGUGUAGCUUUGGAGCCUUUCCUGGCACUCGCUCUGGAGACCAGGCUGGCCUCGAACUCAGAGAUCUGCCUGCUUCUGCCUCCCAAGUGCUGGGAUUAAAGGCAAGCACCACCAAUGCCUGGCCCAGGAGAGAUUUUUAAAAGUAGAGUGUGCAGCUCAGUUGUUAGAGUGCUUGCUUACCAUAUACAAACCACAGAAUUUAAGUCUCAGUAAUUGGGAGGUGAGGC